Long non-coding RNA from Mirounga angustirostris (Northern elephant seal), 1165 nucleotides. RefSeq lists it as uncharacterized. The record is from RefSeq and is a predicted model, not a curated record. The transcript has 5 exons. NCBI's taxonomy places the organism in Eukaryota, Metazoa, Chordata, Mammalia, Carnivora, Phocidae.
ACUUGCCUCUCUCCAACCCAAGCUAAUGGUUUUUCUGUGCUGAGCCUCCAUCCAUCCCAUUGAACCCUAAGUUUGGGAAGAAAACACAGCAGGUCCCCAGUGCUGAAGCGUAGGCCUGAUUGCAUCCCCCAAACCUGAUUCCCACCACCAGCGGGAGAGAGUGGAAGCUGCUCUCAGUAGAACAUAAUCUCCUCAUUUUCUACAAGGUUCAAGAGGACAGGGACUUAGAGUUUUCAUUACUUCUGAAUUCCCCACACCUAGGAAAGUGCCUGGCACAUAGUUGGUUUUAACAUGUAUUUGUUGAAUGAAUGAAUGGAUGUACAGCGUGCAGUCCUGUGGUCCAAAGACUCUCUUUCUCCUCCCUGGAUGGAAAAGCAGAGGAUUUGUCCCUAGUGUGAGCACAUCCUUCAAGAAUAACUUUGGACUCCAUUCAUCUGCAUGCCCUGAGCACUCAACUUAGGGCCAGAUGAUAAACUUUAUCGAAUGACUUGAAGAGGCCUUGGAUAGACUGAUGCUCAUUGUUUUUUCAUUUGGGAAGACUUACUGUGCCUACGGAGAGCCUUCCCUGGACUUCACUGAGAGAACUGCUUUCAUCCAGAUUCCGGAGUUGGAGAUGAAUGGGGUGCUAGAAGAGACAUUUUGUUGUCGUUCUUGGGAGAGAGACUGAGUGCACUUUAUACCCAUAAGCAUUUCCUCAUGGCAAACCACAACCUCUGAUUCAUCGGCCUCACAGAAAACGGUGUCUUCUCCUAGGGAGACAUUCAGCCUUUGAAGGAAUAAAUUGUAGAGCCCUGACUUAUACAGCAACCACCUCUUCAAUGGAAUGUAAACGUUGAGGGACUUCUGCAUAGCGGGAUCUGCUGACAGUUGACUGUUGGAGAAUACUUUACGAAUUAGUUCCCGUGGAGCCGUUGUUGCAUGAUAAUGCCCGGAUCUUUCGUGUCUAUUUGAAUUUCCACAAACCUUCACCUUGAGGAAUGAAUGGGGAAGUCCCAAGCAUCUAGAAGUCACACGAUGUAAGGGCUUGGGCUGAGCAGUUAGACAAGUUUGGGUUGAAUUUUAGACACGAUGAUCACUGUCUUGAUAAUUAGAAGCAAUCUCUGCAGAUGGGGUAACACAUGGAGUAAGUUUAAUAUAUGGCAGCCAUAUAUUAAAUAUAAGUAAC